This 760-nucleotide ribosomal RNA is filed under the name uncultured Stenotrophomonas sp. Its description in RNAcentral is "bacterial SSU rRNA". It matches the Rfam family "Bacterial small subunit ribosomal RNA", at positions 28 to 776 of the family's 1533-position model. Lineage: Bacteria; Pseudomonadati; Pseudomonadota; Gammaproteobacteria; Lysobacterales; Lysobacteraceae. The record is from RNAcentral.
AGUGAACGCUGGCGGUAGGCCUAACACAUGCAAGUCGAACGGCAGCACAGAGGAGCUUGCUCCUUGGGUGGCGAGUGGCGGACGGGUGAGGAAUACAUCGGAAUCUACUCUGUCGUGGGGGAUAACGUAGGGAAACUUACGCUAAUACCGCAUACGACCUACGGGUGAAAGCAGGGGAUCUUCGGACCUUGCGCGAUUGAAUGAGCCGAUGUCGGAUUAGCUAGUUGGCGGGGUAAAGGCCCACCAAGGCGACGAUCCGUAGCUGGUCUGAGAGGAUGAUCAGCCACACUGGAACUGAGACACGGUCCAGACUCCUACGGGAGGCAGCAGUGGGGAAUAUUGGACAAUGGGCGCAAGCCUGAUCCAGCCAUACCGCGUGGGUGAAGAAGGCCUUCGGGUUGUAAAGCCCUUUUGUUGGGAAAGAAAUCCAGCCGGCUAAUACCUGGUUGGGAUGACGGUACCCAAAGAAUAAGCACCGGCUAACUUCGUGCCAGCAGCCGCGGUAAUACGAAGGGUGCAAGCGUUACUCGGAAUUACUGGGCGUAAAGCGUGCGUAGGUGGUUAUUUAAGUCCGUUGUGAAAGCCCUGGGCUCAACCUGGGAACUGCAGUGGAUACUGGAUGACUAGAAUGUGGUAGAGGGUAGCGGAAUUCCUGGUGUAGCAGUGAAAUGCGUAGAGAUCAGGAGGAACAUCCAUGGCGAAGGCAGCUACCUGGACCAACAUUGACACUGAGGCACGAAAGCGUGGGGGAGCAAACAGG